UACGAAUGGGGCAAGCGUUGUUCGGAAUCACUGGGCUUAAAGCGUGCGCAGGCGGUCAUGAAAGUCAGAAGUGAAAUCCCAGGGCUUAACCCUGGAAUUGCUUUUGAAACUCCAUGACUAGAAUACUGGAGAGGUUAGCAGAAUUCCGAGUGUAGAGGUGAAAUUCGCAGAUAUUCGGAGGAAUACCAAUGGCGAAGGCAGCUAACUGGACAGUCAUUGACGCUCAGGCACGAAAGCGUGGGUAGCAAAC
This 250-nucleotide ribosomal RNA is filed under the name uncultured bacterium. RNAcentral describes it as "partial 16S ribosomal RNA". It matches the Rfam family "Bacterial small subunit ribosomal RNA", at positions 524 to 773 of the family's 1533-position model. The record is from RNAcentral.